CUGAAGUAUUUACCAUGUGACCUUUAUGGAAAAGGCUCCCUGCUCACUGCCUGGACUCUCACCCACCAUCCAACUGGCUGAGGGCAAAGUCGUCUCUGCUCCCAAUGCUCUGUUUCCCACUUUGUGAAGUGGGGUGAACAGCGCUGCCCUCAGAGGAUUCCAAGGGUGACGGUCCAUCACUGGGUGAGGUGGCUGUCCCUUCUCGCCCGUCCUUCCUUUGCUCCAAUGCUCCGGGAUGUUUCCCCUUUGGAGGCGCUCGAGAUACCUGGCUGAUAAAGGGCAGAUUCGUGGAGACUUAAUUAUGGCCCCAAGCCCUCCGUGUAAACAGUCGGGCCUGGUGACAACAGAAAUGCAAGCUCUCGUCAAGCGAGGACUGAUAAGGGGACCCUCAGAGAUGAGCAGAACCCGGAGGAGGGACUCACCACUUUUCUCAGCUGGGUGGUGAUGAUGGCCAAAGCCAUCUUUGAACAAGAGAAGCUGCUCGUAGGUGCUUUGGAUGACAAGCUGCCUCGGAGCUUCAUAGCCCCGUUCCUGCUGUAGGAACUGCAGACCUCUUGGUCUGGCUUCUCCCAGCCAGAAGCCCAUCCACCUCCGCCCCCAGCUGGAGACAGGUGAGGUCCCUGGGUGCGCCGCCUCUGGGCCGGGCUGCCUUCUGUCCUCACCAGCCACUCUGUCUGCGGGCCUGCCCCCUCCAUAGCCCGCUGUCCCUCUCCCAGGCCCGGUUCCUCACCCUCACCUGCCACCGUAGCUGCCUGUUUCCAGCUGGAACCUCCCUGAGGCUGGGAGAGACACCCUGACUCACACUAACUUCAGCACUGAAUCCAAAAGCAAAACGUUGUGGGAAGAACACCGAGCUUCAACUUCGUGUGCGCUCAUCCAAUCCUUUCCCUGCGCUGUAACUUUUCUUUAAAAUGCCAUCCAAGAGGUG
Molecule: long non-coding RNA, 928 nt
Organism: Felis catus (domestic cat)
Lineage: Eukaryota; Metazoa; Chordata; Mammalia; Carnivora; Felidae
Exons: 3
Source: RefSeq, a predicted model, not a curated record